Marmota monax (woodchuck) is the source of this 737-nucleotide long non-coding RNA. RefSeq lists it as uncharacterized. Lineage: Eukaryota; Metazoa; Chordata; Mammalia; Rodentia; Sciuridae. The record is from RefSeq and is a predicted model, not a curated record. The transcript has 3 exons.
AGUCUCUGAUGGUAGGAGAGGAGCCCCCCAAAGCUUAGCAGUGGCCUGGGCAGACAAGGCUGUUGUCCACCAACAUGCUCAUGCUGCCUGGAGUUUGUACCUCCCAAAGCAGUGGGAUUAUAUGCAUAUGCCAUUGGGCCCAGCAAAAGAAAGGUUACCCAAGAGGAGAGCAGAGCUGCCCUUUGCAUUCAAAAUCAGAGGCUGAUCCUUACAGAAACUUAGCAUUUGCCACUCUGUAUUGAAAUCACCUAUUAUCACAUGCCGUGCCUCCAUCAGGCUGUGUGUCAGACUGUGACCUAAGAAGAUAAUCUCUGUGAAGACAAGGUGGCAACAGCCUUGGUCACAGCUAUUCAUAGUGCCUAGCAUGCAAUAGAGACCCUCAGUAAGUAUCUAUGGACUGCAUGGAUGGAUGGAUGGAUGGAUGGUGGCACUCCUGUGGAAUUUUCAGCAGGAUAUACAAAGGAAACAGUGUUGGCAUUGAGUAGUGGGAAGGACCUCAGCAAGGGGUUAAGGACCUGGGCUCCUGUGCUGGCUCUACCUCCUACUUGCUGUGUUGCCUCAUGCAAGUUACUCACCCUCUCGAACAUUCCAUUUCUCUACCUGCAACUGAAUAGUGGGACUGGGUAGUUCCCUAAAACCCUCCCCAGCGGAUGCUCCAGAAUGCUUAGCUGGCCUUGGCCCAGCACCCCUAUUUCACACCUCUGUAAUUACCCACCUGCAUGCCUUUUAUUAUAGAG